GGAGAUGAAUCAUAGUCACACUAGAAAAAUUUUUGAAAUUAUCGAUGGAUUUUACCGAUGAAUUGAUUACUUGAAGAAUUUUUCCAUCGUUAAAAUUAUAUUUACCGACAAAAAAAUUCUUUAGUUCGUCGAUAAUACAUAUUUCAUUUGUCGAUGAAAAAAUUCAUUAGUAAAUUUUUCAAUAAUGCAUAUUUCACUUACCGAC
Molecule: long non-coding RNA, 205 nt
Filed under: Vigna radiata
Lineage: Eukaryota; Viridiplantae; Streptophyta; Magnoliopsida; Fabales; Fabaceae
Description: long non-coding RNA (VRAD_LNC013973)
Source: RNAcentral